This 399-nucleotide ribosomal RNA is filed under the name uncultured bacterium. RNAcentral's name for it is "bacterial SSU rRNA". It matches the Rfam family "Bacterial small subunit ribosomal RNA", at positions 30 to 430 of the family's 1533-position model. The record is from RNAcentral.
AUUGAACGCUGGCGGCAUGCCUUACACAUGCAAGUCGAACGGCAGCACGGGAGCAAUCCUGGUGGCGAGUGGCGAACGGGUGAGUAAUAUAUCGGAACGUGCCCGGUCGUGGGGAUAACGUAGCGAAAGCUACGCUAAUACCGCAUACGAUCUACGGAUGAAAGCGGGGGGAUCGCAAGACCUCGCGCGAUUGGAGCGGCCGAUAUCAGAUUAGGUAGUUGGUGNGGUAAAGGCUCACCAAGCCGACGAUCUGUAGCUGGUCUGAGAGGACGACCAGCCACACUGGGACUGAGACACGGCCCAGACUCCUACGGGAGGCAGCAGUGGGGAAUUUUUGGACAAUAGGGCGCAAGCCUGAUCCAGCAAUGCGCGUGCAGGAUGAAGGCCUCGGUUGUAACG